Molecule: long non-coding RNA, 643 nt
Organism: Lycium barbarum (goji berry)
Lineage: Eukaryota; Viridiplantae; Streptophyta; Magnoliopsida; Solanales; Solanaceae
Exons: 2
Source: RefSeq, a predicted model, not a curated record
UCAAAUAGCAUCUGAUGAAUAUUUGCAUACAUGACCCUAUUUUUUUAUCCUGCUCAUGUCUUGAUGGUACUUAUGAACUGCAGCAGUCAGCAGAUAUGCAAUUCUGCUUUGGCUUCCUUCUUCCAUGCAGAAACUGAAUUGCACCAAUAAUCCAAUACCAUGUAAUACUUGUUUAAAAAGUGGAUAUUUGAGAAAAUCAACUGCAGGCCUGCAGUAGUAGCAGAAGCAAAAAAAUAUUUGGAAUCUAUGCCUAAAUGCAUAUAUGGUUUCUUUUACUUAUUUCUCAAAGAGCUGUUGGUUUUCUUUUAUGAAUGGAGAAAGAAAUCAUGGACAUAUAGCAUUAAUGGACAAUUGGACAUAUAGCAUUGAUUAGCCAGUUUUCUUUUACUUAUUAAUUUAUUCUUUUUUCUUGCGGAGUAUGGAGACUCACCUUUGAGCAUUGAUUAGCCAGUUUCGUUCACGAUGCAUUAUUUGUGUGAGAAUUAGUGGUGCAAUUGUUUUCUAGCUGGUGCAAUUGUUUUCUUUGGUAACUGAGACUUGCAGAACUAGGACCAAAAGACAUAGUACUCAAGGCUGAAGUAGACAAUUUGCUGCCCUUUUGUUUUUUAAUAUUUGGUACUUAAUAGCAUAAAAGGCUGGAGUU